Molecule: ribosomal RNA, 478 nt
Filed under: uncultured bacterium
Lineage: Bacteria
Description: partial 16S ribosomal RNA
Rfam family: Bacterial small subunit ribosomal RNA
Source: RNAcentral
GACGAACGCUGGCGGCGUGCUUAACACAUGCAGGUCGAACGGUAAGGCCCUUCGGGGUACACGAGUGGCGAACGGGUGAGUAACACGUGGGUGAUCUGCCCUGCACUUCGGGAUAAGCCUGGGGAACUGGGUCUAAUACCGGAUAGGACCCUGGGAUGCAUGUCCUGGGGUGGAAAGCUUUUGCGGUGUGGGAUGGGCCCGCGGCCUAUCAGCUUGUUGGUGGGGUGAUGGCCUACCAAGGCGACGACGGGUAGCCGGCCUGGGAGGGGGACCGGCCACACUGGGACGGAGAUACGGCCCAGACUCCUACGGGAGGCAGCAGUGGGGAAUAUUGCACAAUGGGCGCAAGCCUGAUGCAGCGACGCCGCGUGAGGGAUGACGGCCUUCGGGUUGUAAACCUCUUUCAGCACCGACGAAGCGCAAGUGACGGUAGGUGCAGAAGAAGGACCGGCCAACUACGUGCCAGCAGCCGCGGUAA